This 426-nucleotide ribosomal RNA is filed under the name uncultured bacterium. Its description in RNAcentral is "bacterial SSU rRNA". It matches the Rfam family "Bacterial small subunit ribosomal RNA", at positions 359 to 776 of the family's 1533-position model. The record is from RNAcentral.
GAAUUUUGCGCAAUGGGCGAAAGCCUGACGCAGUAACGCCGCGUGGAGGAUGAAGGCCUUCGGGUUGUAAACUCCUGUCAGGAGGAACGAUGAGAUGAGAGCGAAGAGCUUUCAUCUCAAGACGGUACCUCCAAAGGACGCCCCGGCUAAUUCCGUGCCAGCCGCCGCGGUAAUACGGAAGGGGCAAGCGUUGUUCGGAAUCAUUGGGCGUAAAGGGCGCGUAGGCGGUCCCGUAUGUCCGCUGUGAAAUCCCACGGCUCAACCGUGUUGGGUCGGUGGAAACUGCGGGACUUGAGGCUGGGAGGGGCUGGUGGAAUUCCCCAUGUAGCGGUGAAAUGCGUAGAGAUGGGGGAGAACACUCGUGGCGAAGGCGGCCAGCUGGACCAGUUCUGACGCUGAGGCGCGAAAGCGUGGGGAGCAAACAGG